GAUGAACGCUGGCGGCGUGCCUAAUACAUGCAAGUCGAGCGAACGGACGAGAAGCUUGCUUCUCUGAUGUUAGCGGCGGACGGGUGAGUAACACGUGGAUAACCUACCUAUAAGACUGGGAUAACUUCGGGAAACCGUAGCUAAUACCGGAUAAUAUUUUGAACCGCAUGGUUCAAAAGUUAACGACGGUCUUGCUGUCACUUAUAGAUUGAUCCGCGCUGCAUUAGCUAGUUGGUAAGGUAACGGCUUACCAAGGCAACGAUGCAUAGCCGACCUGAGAGGGUGAUCGGCCACACUGGAACUGAGACACGGUCCAGACUCCUACGGGAGGCAGCAGUAGGGAAUCUUCCGCAAUGGGCGAAAGCCUGACGGAGCAACGCCGCGUGAGUGAUGAAGGUCUUCGGAUCGUAAAACUCUGUUAUUAGGGAAGAACAUAUGUGUAAGUAACUGUGCACAUCUUGACGGUACCUAAUCAGAAAGCCACGGCUAACUACGUG
This 497-nucleotide ribosomal RNA is filed under the name uncultured bacterium. RNAcentral's name for it is "partial 16S ribosomal RNA". It matches the Rfam family "Bacterial small subunit ribosomal RNA", at positions 28 to 507 of the family's 1533-position model. The record is from RNAcentral.